RNAcentral lists this ribosomal RNA (3073 nucleotides) under Campylobacter jejuni. RNAcentral's name for it is "bacterial LSU rRNA". It matches the Rfam family "Bacterial large subunit ribosomal RNA". RNAcentral also lists the same sequence under 2 other names. The record is from RNAcentral. Lineage: Bacteria; Pseudomonadati; Campylobacterota; Epsilonproteobacteria; Campylobacterales; Campylobacteraceae.
UAAAAAAAGGUAAGCUACUAAGAGCGAAUGGUGGAUGCCUUGACUGGUAAAGGCGAUGAAGGACGUACUAGACUGCGAUAAGCUACGGGGAGCUGUCAAGAAGCUUUGAUCCGUAGAUUUCCGAAUGGGGCAACCCAAUGUAUAGAGAUAUACAUUACCUAUAUAGGAGCGAACGAGGGGAAUUGAAACAUCUUAGUACCCUCAGGAAAAGAAAUCAAUAGAGAUUGCGUCAGUAGCGGCGAGCGAAAGCGCAAGAGGGCAAACCCAGUGCUUGCACUGGGGGUUGUAGGACUGCAAUGUGCAAGAGGUAAGUUUAGCAGAACAUUCUGGAAAGUAUAACCAUAGAGGGUGAUAGUCCCGUAUGCGAAAAACAAACCUUAGCUAGCAGUAUCCUGAGUAGGGCGGGACACGAGGAAUCCUGUCUGAAUCCGGGUCGACCACGAUCCAACCCUAAAUACUAAUACCAGAUCGAUAGUGCACAAGUACCGUGAGGGAAAGGUGAAAAGAACUGAGGUGAUCAGAGUGAAAUAGAACCUGAAACCAUUUGCUUACAAUCAUUCAGAGCCCUAUGUAGCAAUACAGGGUGAUGGACUGCCUUUUGCAUAAUGAGCCUGCGAGUUGUGGUGUCUGGCAAGGUUAAGCAAACGCGAAGCCGUAGCGAAAGCGAGUCUGAAUAGGGCGCUUAGUCAGAUGCUGCAGACCCGAAACGAAGUGAUCUAUCCAUGAGCAAGUUGAAGCUAGUGUAAGAACUAGUGGAGGACUGAACCCAUAGGCGUUGAAAAGCCCCGGGAUGACUUGUGGAUAGGGGUGAAAGGCCAAUCAAACUUCGUGAUAGCUGGUUCUCUCCGAAAUAUAUUUAGGUAUAGCGUUGUGUCGUAAUAUAAGGGGGUAGAGCACUGAAUGGGCUAGGGCAUACACCAAUGUACCAAACCCUAUCAAACUCCGAAUACCUUAUAUGUAAUCACAGCAGUCAGGCGGCGAGUGAUAAAAUCCGUCGUCAAGAGGGAAACAACCCAGACUACCAGCUAAGGUCCCUAAAUCUUACUUAAGUGGAAAACGAUGUGAAGUUACUUAAACAACCAGGAGGUUGGCUUAGAAGCAGCCAUCCUUUAAAGAAAGCGUAAUAGCUCACUGGUCUAGUGAUUUUGCGCGGAAAAUAUAACGGGGCUAAAGUAAGUACCGAAGCUGUAGACUUGCACACAACUUAGAUUAUUUAAGUUUAGAAUAUGAGAAACUAAGUUAUAUGUUUAGUUAUAUUUUUACUGAUUUUUAUAGAGUAAAGAUAGAAAUAAAACUUAGUAAAAUCAGUAAAAAUAUUCUUAGGCUAAAGUUAAGUAGUUUAAGUUGUGUGCAAGUGGUAGGAGAGCGUUCUAUUUGCGUCGAAGGUAUACCGGUAAGGAGUGCUGGAGCGAAUAGAAGUGAGCAUGCAGGCAUGAGUAGCGAUAAUUAAUGUGAGAAUCAUUAACGCCGUAAACCCAAGGUUUCCUACGCGAUGCUCGUCAUCGUAGGGUUAGUCGGGUCCUAAGUCGAGUCCGAAAGGGGUAGACGAUGGCAAAUUGGUUAAUAUUCCAAUACCAACAUUAGUGUGCGAUGGAAGGACGCUUAGGGCUAAGGGGGCUAGCGGAUGGAAGUGCUAGUCUAAGGUCGUAGGAGGUUAUACAGGCAAAUCCGUAUAACAAUACUCCGAGAACUGAAAGGCUUUUUGAAGUCUUCGGAUGGAUAGAAGAACCCCUGAUGCCGUCGAGCCAAGAAAAGUUUCUAAGUUUAGCUAAUGUUGCCCGUACCGUAAACCGACACAGGUGGGUGGGAUGAGUAUUCUAAGGCGCGUGGAAGAACUCUCUUUAAGGAACUCUGCAAAAUAGCACCGUAUCUUCGGUAUAAGGUGUGGUUAGCUUCGUACUAGGAUUUACUCCGAAAGCGAAGAAACUUACAACAAAGAGUCCCUCCCGACUGUUUACCAAAAACACAGCACUCUGCUAACUCGUAAGAGGAUGUAUAGGGUGUGACGCCUGCCCGGUGCUCGAAGGUUAAUUGAUGGGGUUAGCAUUAGCGAAGCUCUUGAUCGAAGCCCGAGUAAACGGCGGCCGUAACUAUAACGGUCCUAAGGUAGCGAAAUUCCUUGUCGGUUAAAUACCGACCUGCAUGAAUGGCGUAACGAGAUGGGAGCUGUCUCAAAGAGGGAUCCAGUGAAAUUGUAGUGGAGGUGAAAAUUCCUCCUACCCGCGGCAAGACGGAAAGACCCCGUGGACCUUUACUACAGCUUGACACUGCUACUUGGAUAAGAAUGUGCAGGAUAGGUGGGAGGCUUUGAGUAUAUGACGCCAGUUGUAUAUGAGCCAUUGUUGAGAUACCACUCUUUCUUAUUUGGGUAGCUAACCAGCUUGAGUUAUCCUCAAGUGGGACAAUGUCUGGUGGGUAGUUUGACUGGGGCGGUCGCCUCCCAAAUAAUAACGGAGGCUUACAAAGGUUGGCUCAGAACGGUUGGAAAUCGUUCGUAGAGUAUAAAGGUAUAAGCCAGCUUAACUGCAAGACAUACAAGUCAAGCAGAGACGAAAGUCGGUCUUAGUGAUCCGGUGGUUCUGUGUGGAAGGGCCAUCGCUCAAAGGAUAAAAGGUACCCCGGGGAUAACAGGCUGAUCUCCCCCAAGAGCUCACAUCGACGGGGAGGUUUGGCACCUCGAUGUCGGCUCAUCGCAUCCUGGGGCUGGAGCAGGUCCCAAGGGUAUGGCUGUUCGCCAUUUAAAGCGGUACGCGAGCUGGGUUCAGAACGUCGUGAGACAGUUCGGUCCCUAUCUGCCGUGGGCGUAAGAAGAUUGAAGAGAUUUGACCCUAGUACGAGAGGACCGGGUUGAACAAACCACUGGUGUAGCUGUUGUUCUGCCAAGAGCAUCGCAGCGUAGCUAAGUUUGGAAAGGAUAAACGCUGAAAGCAUCUAAGCGUGAAGCCAACUCUAAGAUGAAUCUUCUCUAAGCUCUCUAGAAGACUACUAGUUUGAUAGGCUGGGUGUGUAAUGGAUGAAAGUCCUUUAGCUGACCAGUACUAAUAGAGCGUUUGGCUUAUCUUUAAUAAAGCAU